Molecule: ribosomal RNA, 351 nt
Filed under: uncultured bacterium
Lineage: Bacteria
Description: bacterial SSU rRNA
Rfam family: Bacterial small subunit ribosomal RNA
Source: RNAcentral
GCUCAGGAUGAACGCUGGCGGCGUGCUUAACACAUGCAAGUCGAACGGGAAAUAUUUCAUUGAGACUUCGGUGGAUUUGAUCUAUUUCUAGUGGCGGACGGGUGAGUAACGCGUGGGUAACCUGCCUUAUACAGGGGGAUAACAGUCAGAAAUGGCUGCUAAUACCGCAUAAGUGCACAGAGCUGCAUGGCUCAGUGUGAAAAACUCCGGUGGUAUAAAAUGGACCCGCGUUGGAUUAGCUUGUUGGUGGGGUAACGGCCCACCAAGGCGACGAUCCAUAGCCGGCCUGAGAGGGUGAACGGCCACAUUGGGACUGAGACACGGCCCAGACUCCUACGGGAGGCAGCAGUA